RNAcentral lists this ribosomal RNA (319 nucleotides) under uncultured eukaryote. RNAcentral describes it as "partial 18S ribosomal RNA". It matches the Rfam family "Eukaryotic small subunit ribosomal RNA", at positions 1470 to 1796 of the family's 1831-position model. The record is from RNAcentral.
CCCUUAGAUGUUCUGGGCUGCACGCGUGCUACAAUGGCGUUUCCAGCAAGUCUGCGAACCCGAGAGGGCCAGCGGAUCUUCGAAUUGGCGUCGUGAUCGGGACAGUCGAUUGCAAUUAUUUGACUCAAACGAGGAAUUCCUUGUAAUCGCGAUUCAUCAUAUCGCGCUGAAUACGUCCCUGCCCUUUGUACUCACCGCCCGUCGCUCCUACCGAUUGAGCGAUCCGGUAAAUGUUUUGGAUUGGUGCCGGGGCGGCUAGCUGCCGGUCGCUACGAAAUUUUGUGAACCUCAUCGCUUAGAGGAAGGAAAAGUCGUAACA